RNAcentral lists this long non-coding RNA (770 nucleotides) under Equus caballus (horse). RNAcentral's name for it is "lncRNA (ENSECAG00000054215.1)". Lineage: Eukaryota; Metazoa; Chordata; Mammalia; Perissodactyla; Equidae. The record is from RNAcentral.
GGCCGGACGCCACGGCGCUCAGGAUCUUCCCAGCGUCGCCCGUUCCUCCCCAAGGCCUGGGAGACCCGAGGGAAGAACCAAGGCCGCCGCUCCCCUCGUUUCCCGUGGACCCUCCGGGCCGCCCCGUGCGCGGGCCCAGCACACCAGGACACGGGUGGAGUGGGCGUGUCCCCUUGCGAGCCUGAGCCGCCCUACAGACCUGUCCAGUAAUCUAACGGGAAGGCCAGUCUGGAACGGUGUAAACACCGGAGAGUCCCCUAGGUGGCAGCAAAGGCCCAACAAAGUGGUCCCAGAAUGGUCCUUCCCUUCCGCCCUAAUCCCAGAAAGGCCAGGAAGGACGGAGCCACUUCACAGAGAACUGAAAUCCAGAGGGCCAGGAACAAGCUCACACCACGCAGCGAUCUGAACGCUGACUUCCUGCCCCAGGAGAAGAGAAGACAAGACAGAGAGAGGAAAGUCUAACAGGGAGCGGCCAUAGAAAGUGAUGAUUCAGAGCACAGACGCACUCAGACCUGUCCUCCAGGCAGUGUGACCCCGGGAGUCUCCUCACCCUUCUGAGCCUCGUUUGCCUUACCUGUAGAAUUGGGAACAAGAAGGGCACCUGCUUCAUAGGAUGUUUUGAGGGUUAACUGAGAGGCUGCAUGGAAAUCACUUAGCACAGUGCCUGGAAGGUAGCAAGUGCUCAGCAAAUCAUCAAUAAAUUAAUAAAUGUAAAGCUGGUAUCCGACUGUGAUGGUCUUUGUUAAUGUGUCAGCUUGGAUGGGUUGCAG